CUCGUGGCACUUUCUCCUCACAAGCUUUCGAGGCGCCACAGGAGGCUGUUGCACCUUUGGGCCCUCCCGGGCUGGGGCCUGGCCCGCCCCGGCCCUCGGUCCCUGGGCCUUGGGGGCCCGAUCCCCUCCCUCCCCCCACUGUGGGUGGCUCCCUGAAGGCCCCGGCCCCCACCCCCCAGGGCCUCCGUGGCAGGGCUGGUGGGUCCCUCAGACUAACAGGCCUGGCAGCAACUGUGGAGGUGGUCUCCAUGCUGUGUCUCUGUCGUGACAUUAGGAAAAAAGUCAACCUGGACCUUGUGUCUCUGACAGCCUGUUAGGUUCAAAUCACCAUGAUGCCAGGGAUGAUCCUUUUCAGGCAACCUUGACCACUAGCCUUUCCUUGGCAUAAGACUGGAGAGUCAUGAAAGAAAUUUGAAGCCUCCCGCUGUGCACCAUUCUCCUCACCCUGGAAAAAUGCUUCCCUUCUGAGGGGAAAUAUGCUUCAGGUAUGGUAGAGAGCUAUAUGA
Molecule: long non-coding RNA, 506 nt
Filed under: Phascolarctos cinereus (koala)
Lineage: Eukaryota; Metazoa; Chordata; Mammalia; Diprotodontia; Phascolarctidae
Description: lncRNA (ENSPCIG00000034184.1)
Source: RNAcentral